CGUGUGUAUUCUUCUUCAAAUUGAAUCUGCGUUGUUUCUCUCAAUCCCAAGUUGAUAGACAGUUGUUGAGAAGAGAAACUCAAUUAUAGCAUUCCUUGGUCUUUUGUUCCUCGCCUUCUUUGCCAACCAUCUUACUUCAUUUUGUCAAUUGUCAAUAGUUCUAUUCAAUCUCACCCACUAUAGUAGAGCUUUCCAUACAUAUUUAGAAUAUCCUCUGUAAAAUAACUGGUGGUCAUGAGAUUCAGCCACUGUACUUUCACAUAAAACACAUGCCUAGGCAUAGGUCCAUGAAGCAGUACCAGAGUUUUCCACUCCACCUUUAGAUAUUUAGGAAGCAUCAUCCCAUAGGCAGUUUUGAUGCUAAACUUCCCCUCUUCACUGUAUUGCUGCAAUGCAUUUAGAACAUUUGGUGCAUUUGUAGAUGAUAUACAUUCCUUAGCAGCAAGUAUCUUUCUAAUGAUCCUACUAGCCUGUUUAGGAAGCUCAAUGUCUUCUAAGUUUCUGUUCUUGAUAUAGUAACAAUGUAUCCAUAGAACCCACAAUGUGACUACGGGACAUAAAAGUAAGUGCGGCUUUGUUUUAGG
This is a long non-coding RNA of Lycium ferocissimum, 584 nucleotides long. RefSeq lists it as uncharacterized. The record is from RefSeq and is a predicted model, not a curated record. The transcript is spliced from 2 exons. Lineage: Eukaryota; Viridiplantae; Streptophyta; Magnoliopsida; Solanales; Solanaceae.